Molecule: ribosomal RNA, 467 nt
Filed under: uncultured bacterium
Lineage: Bacteria
Description: partial 16S ribosomal RNA
Rfam family: Bacterial small subunit ribosomal RNA
Source: RNAcentral
ACGAACGCUGGCGGCGUGCUUAACACAUGCAAGUCGAACGGAAAGGCCCUGCUUUUGUGGGGUGCUCGAGUGGCGAACGGGUGAGGAACACGUGAGUAACCUGCCCUUGACUUUGGGAUAACUUCAGGAAACUGGGGCUAAUACCGGAUAGGAGCUCCUGCUGCAUGGUGGGGGUUGGAAAGUUUCGGCGGUUGGGGAUGGACUCGCGGCUUAUCAGCUUGUUGGUGGGGUAGUGGCUUACCAAGGCUUUGACGGGUAGCCGGCCUGAGAGGGUGACCGGCCACAUUGGGACUGAGAUAUGGCCCAGACUCCUACGGGAGGCAGCAGUGGGGAAUAUUGCACAAUGGGCGGAAGCCUGAUGCAGCAACGCCGCGUGCGGGAUGACGGCCUUCGGGUUGUAAACCGCUUUCGCCUGUGACGAAGCGUGAGUGACGGUAAUGGGUAAAGAAGCACCGGCUAACUACGUG